AAUAGAUACCCUGGUAGUCCACGCCGUAAACGAUGAGUGCUAAGUGUUAGAGGGUUUCCGCCCUUUAGUGCUGAAGUUAACGCAUUAAGCACUCCGCCUGGGGAGUACGGUCGCAAGACUGAAACUCAAAGGAAUUGACGGGGGCCCGCACAAGCGGUGGAGCAUGUGGUUUAAUUCGAAGCAACGCGAAGAACCUUACCAGGUCUUGACAUCCCGCUGACCGCCAUGGAGACAUGGCUUUCCCUUCGGGGACAGCGGUGACAGGUGGUGCAUGGUUGUCGUCAGCUCGUGUCGUGAGAUGUUGGGUUAAGUCCCGCAACGAGCGCAACCCUUGUCCUUAGUUGCCAUCAUUCAGUUGGGCACUCUAAGGAGACUGCCGUACAAAUACGGAGGAAGGUGGGGAUGACGUCAAAUCAUCAUGCCCCUUAUGACCUGGGCUACACACGUGCUACAAUGGGCAGUACAAAGGGCUGCGAACCCGCGAGGGGGAGCCAAUCCCAAAAAAGCUGCUCUCAGUUCGGAUUGCAGGCUG
RNAcentral lists this ribosomal RNA (532 nucleotides) under uncultured bacterium. Its description in RNAcentral is "bacterial SSU rRNA". It matches the Rfam family "Bacterial small subunit ribosomal RNA", at positions 777 to 1307 of the family's 1533-position model. The record is from RNAcentral.